UUUUCAUUGUUUUAUAUUUUUACACCAUAUAUAUAAAGUAUAAGGUGUUAGAGACUUUUACAUUAACACUGUUUUAUUUUUUAAAUCCAGAUUCUGUUAACUUUACUGUUAGGAAAAAGCAAACAAACCCAUCUAUUGGCAUGUUAAAAAAAAAAAAUUUCCAGAAAAAUACAUUCUUCCUGAUUAGUGAUUUUUUUUUUGGUAUCACUGUUCUGUUACAUAAUGUUCAGUAAAUAUUUAACAAUAUUCAGAUAAAGAGUCAUCAAUUAGAAAUCUUUACCAAACUUCUUACCCAUAAAGGUUGUCUAUUGGAAUGCAUGUCCAGUGUUUAAAAUUGAACUUUUCAUCCAUGUGUGUAUCAUUGAGAUUUCACUUUCCUUAGCCAGCUGAACAUUGAGACCAGCUUAUUCUGUAGACUUUUAAAAUAAUUUUACCUAUUUUCCCCUUAGACUUAGAAUAAUUGAUCUUACAAUAUUUGUUCUAUGUCAUAAUUUCCUUCUGUGUUAUUUAUUAUAACAUUACAUCAACCAUACAUAUAUUUUAAAAUAAUAGUGGUUUAGUUUUAAAUUACUAUUUUUAUUUUGUUUUUGUUUUUUUUUUCAGAAUGAAGUGCAAACAGCAAAAGAAUUUAUAAAGAUUGUAGAAGCUGCAGAAAAUGAAUACCAGACUGCCAUCAGUGAGAAUUAUCAGACAAUGUCGG
RNAcentral lists this small RNA (700 nucleotides) under Pan troglodytes (chimpanzee). Its description in RNAcentral is "retained intron". Lineage: Eukaryota; Metazoa; Chordata; Mammalia; Primates; Hominidae. The record is from RNAcentral.